This is a long non-coding RNA of Cavia porcellus (domestic guinea pig), 2022 nucleotides long. RefSeq lists it as uncharacterized. The record is from RefSeq and is a predicted model, not a curated record. Lineage: Eukaryota; Metazoa; Chordata; Mammalia; Rodentia; Caviidae. The transcript is spliced from 2 exons.
UCUGAGGGACACUUUCUCUGGAACCACCACUUCCGGAACGUGAUUCGCUCUGCGGCGGCGUGCUCGUGACGUCAUCGCGCCGGCCCCGCCCCUCGCCUCCGCGCCAGGCUUAGUUCCACCCACUCAAACAUAGCUAGACUACUCCAAAGAGUGCUUCUUGAAUAUCCUCCUGACAUGGCAGCUGGCUUCUCCCAAAGCAAGAGAUCAACAGGAAACAAGGCAAGAAGCCAAAAAUCUUUUACAAUAUAUCCUCCGAGAUCACAUACCAUCAUUUCCACAGGAAUAUCCUAUUGGUUUUACAGAUCGGUCCUACUCCAUAUGUGGAAAGAUUAUAUGAAAGGAUGAAGGAGAUGGGAAUAGUUGGAGCCAUCCUGGAGGCCUUCUUGGAGACUGGCUGCUGCGCACUGUGUGAUCAGCUUAGAUACCAUUUCCCCCUCCACUCACCCCCUCCCUUCUCACAUUCAUGCUGAAUGUCAGCCCCUUUGUAAAGCGUUCCCAAUUGAUCCCUCACUUCUUUCUCUGUGUUUACACAGAACUCUGUUUCACUUCCACAGGCAUCUGCUGCCCUGUUUCCCUACUGUUGUCUGAGUCCCAGAGAAAGACCCUGAGACUGAGCAUUUUGGCAGUCUACACCAAUCUCUACCAAAUAUUCUUGGCAUAACACAUACUCUGGCUGUUUAAAAAAUUACUGAAUAAAACAAAACAAAAAGUGUGGACAAGGAUGUAGAGAAUUUGGAAACUGUGCAUUGUUGGUGGAACUGUAAAAUGGUGCAAUAUACUGCUUACUCCAAAAAAAAAUGACAAUAGGAUUACCAUAUAAUCUAGAAAUUCCACUUUUGGGUAUUUUACCUAAAAGAAUUGACAGCAGAGUCUCAAAGAGAAUUUGCAUGCCCAUGUUCAUAGCAGCAUUUUUUACACCAAAAGUAGAAGCAAAUCAAGGCUCCAUUGACAGAUGAGUGGAUAAAAAAAUGCAGCAUAUGCAUAGUGUGGGAUGUUUGUCAAGUUUAAAAGCAAAGGAAACAUUGGCCAGUACUACAUCUGAUUGAACCUGAAGGACAUCAUGAUAAGUGAAAUAAGCCAGCCACAAAAGGACAAAUACUAUAUGAUUCCAUUCACAUGAAGUAUCUAGAUAGUGCAGUUCACAGAGACAGAAAGUCAAAUAGUGGUUGUCAGACAGAGCCUAGAGGAAGAGGGAAUGAAGUUAUCAUUUCAAGAACUCAGAAUUUCAGUUGUUGUUUGUUUUGGCUGUUUGUUUUUAUACCAGGAAUCAAACUCAGGGCCUUACAUUUGCCAGACAGGCGCUGUGUCACUGAGCUACAUCCCCAGGCACAGACUUUCAAAAUAAGUUUUGCAAAAUGAGAAAAGUUCUAGAGACGAAUGGUGAUUAAUGGCUUCACCACAGUAUCAGUGCGCUCACUACCACGAAGCUGUACACUUACAACGGAUAAGAGGGCGAGCUUUGUGUUGUGUAUUUUGCCACAAUUUAGAAGUUUUUUAUGAAUGAAUGAUAAGCAACAGUCAAUUCAUUCAAAAGAAUAUGAUUCAUCAUAAAAAGGAAUGAAGCACAAUGCAUGCUACAACAUAAGCAGAUGUUUAAAACCUUAUGCUAAAGAAAUGCCCAUUCUUGGCAAAUCCAUAGAAACAAAGCAGGUUAAUGUGGGUUGCCAGAGACGAGGGAAGGGUAGGGAUGGAGUUCCUGGUAACAGGUACAGGGUUUCUUUUUCAGAUGAUGAAAUUAUUCUGGAACUGACGAGUGGUGAACGCUGGGCAAUCUUGUGAAGAUACUAAAACCACCGAACUGUACACUUUAAUAUGGGAAUUGUUAUAUAAAAUUUUAUGUUCCAUGAUUUAUGUAACUAUUUUUAAAAUGAGUUAACAUUUGGUAUGUUCCCCUAGAUUCUCUUUAUUAUUUUGACUUCUCUAGAAUUUAAACUUAAUAUUUGGUCAGUGUAUAUUCUUGGAUCAAUGACUUGGUCCCGUUGCCCUUGAAUAGUAUUCAAUAAAUACAUCUUUAUAUUCUCA